UACAGAGGCCUCGAGCGUUGUUCGGAAUUACUGGGCGUAAAGAGAACGUAGGUGGUGACGUAAGUCAGAUGUGAAAGCCCUGGGCUUAACCCGGGAAGUGCAUUUGAUACUGCGUUGCUGGAGUACGGAAGAGGAAAGCGGAAUUUCCAGUGUAGGAGUGAAAUCCGUAGAUAUUGGAAGGAAUACCGAUGGCGAAGGCAGCUUUCUGGUUCGUAACUGACACUGAGGUUCGAAAGCGUGGGUAGCAAACAGG
Molecule: ribosomal RNA, 253 nt
Filed under: uncultured bacterium
Lineage: Bacteria
Description: partial 16S ribosomal RNA
Rfam family: Bacterial small subunit ribosomal RNA
Source: RNAcentral